UUUUUUUUUUCACUACAAAUAGUUCUCCAAUAAAUAUUUGGUUUGCAAAUUUUUCUCAAUAUAAAUGAUAACAUUUAACAAUAUUUAACAUAUUUAUAUUAAAUGUAAACUUUGAAUAAUUUUUAUAAUAAUAAAAUAACCUUAGGAUAGGUUCCAAAACAAAAACAAAAACAAAAUAAAGAAAAAAAGGGAAUCCUGGAUAAAGUGAUAUAAAAAAUUUAGGGAGUUCCCGCUGUGGCUCGGUAGUAAUGAACCUGACUAGUAUCCAUGAGGAUGCAGGUUCAAUCCCUGGCUUUGCUCAGUUGGUUAAGGAUCUGGCGUCGCCAUGAGCUGUGGUAUAUAGCUGGCAGCUCUGUAGCUCUGACUCAACACUUGGCCUGGGAUCUUCCAUAGGCCAUGGGUGCUGCCCUGAAAAAAAAAAAAAAAAAGACAAAAAAAUGUAAAGACUAUUAUUACUAAUACUGACAAAAUGAUUUCCAAAAGGGCAAACUAAUUUAUCCUCCCAUCAGCAAUGUGUGAAAGUGGGAAUAGAAUAUGGUGGAUUUUCUGUACUAAAUAUACUGAAAUAUUUACUCAUUUCAUAAGCAACUCAAUGAUACCUCAUUAUUUUAAUUUGAAUUUCCUAAAGCCUGGAAUGAAAAACAUAACCUAUGCUAUGACCCGCCAGUUCACUUCCAGAGCUAGUCAAGAGAAACAAAUGUGUGUCUACCAUAGUUGUUUUGUUCAUAGUACCCAAAGAAUGGAAAUAACUCAAAUAUCCACCAUUGGUAGAAAGGACAAAUCAAUUGGAGUAUAUUUACAAGAUGAAACACUAAAGAGACAUGAUUAAAAUACUGAAUUACUACAUGCAACAACGUGGGUGCCUCUCACAGACAUUAUGUUACAUAAAAGAAGUCAGGCACAAAGAAAAUACUGUAUAAGUUCAUUUCAUACUGUGCUCAAGGACAGGCAAAACUAAGCAAUGAUAAUGGAACUCAGAAGAGUGACGGGGAAAGACAGGAGGGUGGGGGUAUUGAGUGAAAAAUCCACAAAGCAGGCUUCUGGGUGCGGGAGAUUUUUUAAAUUUUGACCUGCCUGGUGGGCAGAUGGGCGUACACAAGUGUAGAAAUUCACUGAGCAUAAAAUAAGUUCAAUUUAUCAUGUAAAGGUUACAUCUCUAUAGAAAAGUAAAAAAUGUAAAAAUAAAAAUAAAGCAUGAGUUUUGAAGGACCAUGUAAGUAUAUGGACCCUUCCAUGAAGGUCCUUUAAGCUAAAUGGUUCAUUGCUCCACUUCAUGGGAGUGAGAAUUGGGGUUUUGGAUAUCAUGCUUUGCUGUUCAGGGAGUUAGAUAAUGAACUCACUGAACUAUUUACACAUAUGUUUGAAGGUUAUAGAAAAUUGGAAUGGUGCCCCAAAGACUUAAAGAGUAAAGGAAGUCAUUUGGGCAAUUACCAUCUGGCAAAUCUACCACUUCAAUUAUUAUUUAAAUAACACUUUUAGGAACAAAAAAUGAUAAACAUAAAAAGAGGAAAAAAGCAUCUUAAAAAUCUUCAGUAACUGGGCAAUGGCACAACACAAGGAAUCAGAAGAACUGCCUUCUAAAGAUUAGAUUCGACAAUAAAUGAUUUCUAACACCACGUUUCCUUGGUUUUCGUCUUCUUUUAUUUUUCAGUUUCCUUAGUGCCUCCCAAUCUUCCGGUCUUCCUUUAAAUGCUGGUGUGCUCCAGGGCAGGCCUCCCUGGAUAAUUGCAUACAAUUUCAUGACUUUAAGUCACAUCUAUAAGCCAUUGGUUCCCAAAUUUACACCUCCAGACCUGACUUUUCACCUAAACGUCAGACUUAGGUGACUGCUAGCUUGACAGCUCCAUUCGGUUGGUAACAGGCAUCUCAAAUUUAACAUCCUGCUUUUCUAUACAGCCUCCUCUCCCCAAAACUACUCCUCUCCCAGCUUUUCCACCCCAGGACAAGGUAACCACACUCUGCUCAAAACCCCAAACCCGGAAAUAGAGACGGAUCAUAAAACAGGGAAGGCCCUUCCCCACUUCGUCUUUUAUUCACAGCAUUUAUCACCACUUUCCAUGUCAUAUAUUAGUAUUUUUAUUAUCUGUCUCUCCAAAAAAGAAUGAAAUCUCUAUGAGGGCAGGGACUUUGUUCUGUUAAUUGCUGUGUCCCCAAUGCCUAGAACAGUGUUUGGUAGGUUAUGGGUGCCUGGAACAUACUGGUUCAGUGAAUGGAUGCUAUAUUGAACAUCAUAGAUUCCUGAUUGAAAAAAAAUACUGAUAAUACUAUGAAGGACCAUUUUUAGCAGUAUCAUCAUUUACUCACUGGGUCACUGUGGUUUAAAUGAGAUACAUUAUUAAAAAAAGUCUCUCUUUUUUUGCAGUACAAUGUCAGAUUGCAGCAGGUCAAUGGCCUCAUUGACUCUGUAGGUGGAAGUCAGAAAGUGUAUGUUUAAAUCCUGACUCUGUAACUGAUUAACUGGAGGCCCUUAGGUUAUGUGUAUAAUCUUUCUGAAUAUAGGUACUCUCCUGUACAAAUUGAAGAUAAUUAAAUCUGCCUCAUAAAGUCAUAAUGCAAAUCACUUUCAAUGAUACAAUGUUUAAGAGCAUGCCAAGCCAGGACGAGGUCCUUCAAAAAAAAAAAAAAAAAAAA
RNAcentral lists this long non-coding RNA (2631 nucleotides) under Sus scrofa (pig). RNAcentral's name for it is "lncRNA (ENSSSCG00015049502.1)". The record is from RNAcentral. Lineage: Eukaryota; Metazoa; Chordata; Mammalia; Artiodactyla; Suidae.